Molecule: ribosomal RNA, 305 nt
Filed under: uncultured bacterium
Lineage: Bacteria
Description: bacterial SSU rRNA
Rfam family: Bacterial small subunit ribosomal RNA
Source: RNAcentral
UGCUUCCUACGGGGCGCAGCAGUGAGGAAUAUUGGUCAAUGGGCGGGAGCCUGAACCAGCCAAGUCGCGUGAAGGAAGAAGGUACUUAGUAUUGUAAACUUCUUUUGUCGGGGAACAAAGGUGGAGACGCGUCUCCGGAUGAGUGUACCCGAAGAAAAAGCAUCGGCUAACUCCGUGCCAGCAGCCGCGGUAAUACGGAGGAUGCGAGCGUUAUCCGGAUUUAUUGGGUUUAAAGGGUGUGCAGGCGGGAGAUCAAGUCAGCGGUAAAAUGGCGGGGGUCAACCCCGGCCGGCCGUUGAAACUGG